RNAcentral lists this long non-coding RNA (4999 nucleotides) under Gossypium barbadense (sea-island cotton). RNAcentral describes it as "long non-coding RNA (GBAR_LNC021489)". Lineage: Eukaryota; Viridiplantae; Streptophyta; Magnoliopsida; Malvales; Malvaceae. The record is from RNAcentral.
UCAAAACUGAAAUCAAACCAAAUAAACAAAAAUAAGAUAAAAGAACCUAAAACCCAAUACGGCCCAAAUCAGAUGGCCUUAACCAAAAUAAAAUCUAGAUAUUUAUAAUGAAUGUUCUAGAAUCAGUCAUUAAAGCACCGACCCAUUGCCCAAUCAGAAGAAGCAUGGGAAACCGUCUUCAGUCUUUUCUGUCACUCCUUUCAUAAUGACGAUUUCAUUUCCAAGGUAAGCCAAAAGAAAUCAGUCCGUUUUAUUUUCUUGUUCAAAGCCUUUCAUUCUUCAUUUUUCUUCUCUGGAGACUUCUUCUUCACUUCCCCCAUCCAGCCGAGCUUGAUCCAUUUGCAUAAUCUGGAACUCCCCUAUCCAGGUAAAACUCUUCUCCUCUUCUCAAUGAUUCUGUUGCUAUGAUAUGAGCAAGACCAUUUGCGGAUCUAGGUAUAUACUGAAAUCUGAUGUUUUCAAGUCCAUAGAUUUCCUGUUGAAUGUCAAAAAUGUAUACUUCCACCAUAGAUCUAUCUUGACUCUUCGAUUUACAUUUUUUGACUAUUGUGAGGGAGUCUCCUUCAAGGAUCAAAUGUCGCCAUCCCCUCCUGAUUCCCAUUUGAACGCCUUUCCGGCAGGCAAUUGCUUCAGCAGCAAAGGCUGAUGGAAUACCAAAAUGAAUCUCUGAAUAUGAAAAAAGAAUAGUACCAUUCGAAUCUCUGGCCACAAUACCCACACCCGACUGAUUCUUUACUUUAUCGUAAGCACCAUCAAAGUUGAUCUUCAUGAAACUUUCCUGUGGUGGCGACCAUCUCUUUUUCUCUAAGGUACGGUUCAGAUCUCUCUUCUCAAGACUAUCAAUUUCUUUGAUGUAACUGAUUAUAAGAUUUGCAACUUCCGUCCCCUUUCUAAUUUUACCUUCAUGUAUUCUUUUGUUUCUGUCACCCCAUAUUGCCCAGAGUGCACAACAAAAUACGCGACUUUGAUCAAGGUUGAGCUGCUCUAUUGCCCAGGUAAUCCACUGUACAAAAUCUUCACAAUGAUUCCUUAAAAUGCACUGAAACGAUAAUGAUCUCCAUACCUCCCUUGUAAUAUGACAGUAACGAAAUAAGUGGUUCAUUGGUUCAGCUUCUUCUCCACAUCGGGGACAGCUCGGAUUUACUACUAACUUCCGAUGUUGAAGAUUCACCUUUGUAGGCAGAUAAUUCCAAGAUAGCUUCCAUAUUGUAACCUUAAUUUUAGCUGGUAGAUUCAGGCACCAUAGUUUUUUAUAAAAAUUCCCAUAGAUGGUCUGUAAAGCAUAAGCUCUAGGAUUGUCAGUCAAUUUUUGUAAUAGUUGAUAGGCACUUCUGACCGUAAACUCACCCGACCGUUCGCCUCCCCAGAUAAGAAAAUCAUCAUGCGGUGUUUGUGCCAGAGGGAUUCUGAGGAUUCUAGCUGCGUCGUCUUCCAGGAAGGUACUAGUAAUCAACUCUUUUUUCCAACUUCUGGUAUUAUUAUCAAUCAACUCGCCAACUUUAACAUCACGCAAAAAAUUAAUAUCUGAUGAUAAUCUAAAAUUAACAGAAUCUGGAAUCCAAGCAUCGCUUAUGCAAAUAUUAGUACCCGUCCCCACCCUUCAACAAUGCCCUUUUUCCAAUAAGUCCUUUGCUGCCCAAAUACUUUUCCAUACAUACGAACUAGAAUUUCCUAACCUGAAAUUUAAGAAAUUAUCAUCCGAAAAAUACUUAGCUUUAAACACUUUCGUUACAAGCGCAUUCUGAUUAUUCAUAAUCCUCCACCCUUGCUUAGCCAAUAGAGCUACAUUGAACUGUGCCAUAUUUCGGAAGCCCAUACCACCCUCUUCUUUAGGCCUACACAUAAAUUCCCAUUGACACCAUUGAAUUCCUUUCUUUCCUUUCCCUUUCUGCCACCAAAAUCUAGCAACUAAAUUGUCAAACUCAUCACAAAGCGAUUUUGGUAAUAGAAAACAUGUCAUAGCAUAAGUAGGAAUUGCCUGAAGAACUGAUUUAAUAAAAACCUCUCUACCCCCUUGAGAGAAGAAGCGAGUACUCCAAUUAUCAAUUCUUUGCUUUAUUCUGUCUUUGAGAUUCUGAAACGAUUCUUUUUUCUUCCGGCCUACAAUAUUUGGCAAUCCAAGAUAUUUUUCCAUAUUGUUCGAAAAUCUUAUUCCCAUAUCAGCUGAUAACCUGCCUUUAUCCCCCUCCUUCAAAUUCGAACUAAAAAAGAUCAUUGAUUUAUUAAAGUUAACGCAUUGACCAGAGCAACUCUCAUAUUCUUUCAAAAUAGCUUUGAAGUUCCUUGCACUACUUUCUGUGGCUUCACCAAACAAAAUACAAUCGUCUGCGAAUAACAAGUGCGAUAUUAUCGGGCCUCUUCUGCUGGCUCUCACCCUUUUAAUCAAUCCCUCUUUUGUAGCAUUCCUGAUUAACGACGAUAAACCUUCAUUGCAAAUAAGAAAUAGAAAAGGGCUAAGUGGGUCACCCUGUCUGAGUCCUCUGGUUGGUUCAAAGACUCUACCAUUCCUCCCGUUCGUAGUAACAACAUAAGAGACUGUAGAAAUACAUCUCAUUAUAAGUACCACCCAUUCCUUCGCAAAACCCAUCCGUAUCAUAACUUCCUUCAAGAAAGCCCAUUCCACCCUAUCGUAAGCUUUACUCAUGUCAAGCUUAAUUGCCAUAAAACCUUUCUUCCCCUUACGUUUUUUCCGAAGAGUAUGCAGAAUUUCAUAAGCUAUCAAAAUAUUGUCUGAAAUUAGCCUCCCUGGGACAAAUGCACUUUGAGCACUAUCAAUGCAUCUCCCGAUGACUUCUUGAAAACGAUUGGCAAUAGCUUUAGCAAUAAUUUUAUAAAGAACUGUGCAUAAACUAAUUGGUCUAAAAUCUGCAAGGUUUGUAGGAUUGGAUUUCUUCGGAAUAAGGGUAAUCUUAGUUACAUUUAACUCUUCCACGUCUUUUCCAUUAUUUAAAACUUCUAAACAAAAAUUCCCAAUAUCUUCGCCCACUAUAUCCCAGUAUUUUUGAAAGAAUAGAGCCGGGAAGCCAUCAUAACCUGGAGCUUUUGUUGAACCCAUUCCCUUCACUGCAAUAUAAAUCUCCUCUAACGUAAAUUUUUUCAAUAGGGUUGCAUUGAUAUCCGAAGAGAUGCAAUUCUGAAUACCUGUUAGAAGAUGAGAAGGAUCUCUAACGCCUGUAGUCGAGAAAAGCUUUUGAAAAUACUGCGUCGCCAACUCAUUAAUUUUAAACUCCUCAGUAAUUCCUCUCCCAUCAUCAUUAUCAAGCCUGCUAAUUGUAUUAAUUUUUCUCCGCAUUGAUGCAUAUUUAUGAAAAAAUUCUGUAUUUUUAUCCCCCAACUUUAGCCAAUUAGCUCGUGCUCUCUGUUCCCAAUACAUCUCCUCCUUCUCGAUUUCCAUGCUCAAAUGAAUUCUUUUAUUAAUUAUCUGGUUCAUAACAUCUUCAUCAGGUUCCUUCUUCAUUAAAUCUUCAACCUCUUUUGUAGUUCUUUCUGUCAUUCCCUUCCGUUGCCUUCUAAUAGAUUUAGCCCAUUUCGAUAAGCUAAUCUGCAAGUUCUCAAGAUUUUCCAAAACCGAUCCAUUUUGUGACUUCCAGGCUUCCCGAAUUUCUUUCUCUAUUGACUCCUCUGUAGUCCACCAGGCUUCAAAUUUAUAACUUGGAACUGUCUUGAAACUGUUUAAAUUAAUUGUGCUUAUUAACAAAGGACAAUGAUCCGAAAGGGUAGACAUCAGAUGAUUAAUAUUGCCCGUUGGAAAUAACUCCAUCCAUUUUUCGUUUGCAACACCUCUAUCCAAUCUUUCCCAUAAUUCGUCUCUGGUAAAUUCCCUCUCUCCCAUGUAUACCAUACUCCUGAAUAUCCCAAGUCUAAAAAGUGACAUUCUUGUAGAGUUUCCCGAAACGCUGCCAUCUUUCUUUCAUCCAUCGGUUGACCUCUUUUUUUUCAAAAGAAUAAGCUAUUUCAUUGAAAUCUCCACUCACUAACCAAGGAUACUCUUGCUCCUGUCCCAAGAUCUUUAAUAAAUCCCAUGAAGCAUUUUUAUCUUGUGAGUAGGGAGAGCCAUAGAACCCUGUGAAUCUCCAAUCGCCAUGAGCACCUUCUCCUUUAACCAGCACAUCAAUAUGACUUAUUGACAAAGAUCUAAGGUGAAUCUGAACCUCCUCUCGCCAUGCUAAACAAAUACCACCCUGCGUACCAGUAGCUCCUACUUCAAGUCCAUUCAUGAAACCACACAUUCUUCUAAUUGCUUCCAUACGUUUUCCACUUACUUUAGUCUCCAUUAAGAAGACAAAUUGAGGAUUAUUUUGCUUCAGUAAAAAUCGAAGCUUCCUUACUGCCCGUGGACUCCCCAAUCCACGGACAUUCCAACAUAUGAUUUUCAUUGUGCCCGGUCGGCUUGCCCAUUGGCAGCCGCCGAUCCUGUCUGGUUGGAAAAUUCUAUUUGUAAAUUAAUUUCAUCCUUCGAAGUUAGAUCCUGUUCAGCACGUUUUGUCCUUUUUAGAUUCUCUUCUCGAAUCUCCUUUACCCCAUCUUCAUCUUGCACUAAUUCUGCCAAUUUCCUUUUUUGCAAUUUACGAUCAGCCUCAUGGUUCUCCUUCCCUCCCACUAUUUUCCUUCUUUUCCAACUAACUUUCCUGGCUAAAACUAGAUUACUGACAGUACUAUCUACAUUACCUCCUUCAUUGAUACCUGCUUCCUUGUGUAAUUCAAGAUCUGCAACAGCUGAUGCCAAACAAGAACUAUCCUGGAUCCCUCCCACUAAACCACUACUUUGCUCCAUGUACUGAUAUUCUUCCUGGUUCUUUGUAAUGCCUCCAACAUAAGAGCAUUGUGGUUGUGAUUUUUUCAAUAAAGCAUUAAACUUUAAACUCUCCCUUCCCACUAACUUUGAUUCUGCUUUUAAUGCUAAAGAAAAAGGUAGAUCCACUUUAAUUCUGUUUUUCUCUACAGGAGUAAAUUCCGAGCAAUCGUGGAUGCCAUGCCCUAACUUGCCACAUCCAAAACA